Molecule: ribosomal RNA, 235 nt
Filed under: uncultured bacterium
Lineage: Bacteria
Description: partial 16S ribosomal RNA
Rfam family: Bacterial small subunit ribosomal RNA
Source: RNAcentral
GAUCCUGGCUCAGGAUGAACGCUAGCGACAGGCUUAACACAUGCAAGUCGAGGGGCAGCAUGAGGUAGCAAUACCUUGAUGGCGACCGGCGCACGGGUGAGUAACGCGUAUGCAACCUGCCCGAUACCGGGGUAUAGCCCAUGGAAACGUGGAUUAACACCCCACUAGUACUUUUAUUCCUGCAUGGGAUGUGAGUUAAAUGUUCAAGGUAUCGGAUGGGCAUGCGUCCUAUUAG